CCUACGUGAGGCAGCAGUGAGGAAUAUUGGUCAAUGGGCGCGAGCCUGAACCAGCCAAGUAGCGUGAAGGAUGACUGCCCUACGGGUUGUAAACUUCUUUUAUAUGGGAAUAAAACGUUCCACGUGUGGGCUUUUGUAUGUACCAUAUGAAUAAGGAUCGGCUAACUCCGUGCCAGCAGCCGCGGUAAUACGGAGGAUCCGAGCGUUAUCCGGAUUUCUUGGGUUUAAAGGGAGCGUCGGUGGAUUGUUAAGUCAGUUGUGAAAGUUUGCGGCUCAACCGUAAAAUUGCAGUUGAAACUGGCAGUCUUGAGUACAGUAGAGGUGGGCGGAAUUCGUGGUGUAGCGGUGAAAUGCUUAGAUAUCACGAAGAACUCCGAUUGCGAAGGCAGUUCACUGGACUGCAACUGACACUGAGGCUCGAAAGUGUGGGUAUCAAACAGGAUUAGAUACCCCUGUAGUC
RNAcentral lists this ribosomal RNA (460 nucleotides) under uncultured bacterium. RNAcentral's name for it is "partial 16S ribosomal RNA". It matches the Rfam family "Bacterial small subunit ribosomal RNA", at positions 338 to 795 of the family's 1533-position model. The record is from RNAcentral.